Molecule: ribosomal RNA, 2345 nt
Filed under: Listeria fleischmannii subsp. fleischmannii
Lineage: Bacteria; Bacillati; Bacillota; Bacilli; Caryophanales; Listeriaceae
Description: Bacterial large subunit ribosomal RNA
Rfam family: Bacterial large subunit ribosomal RNA
Source: Rfam by way of RNAcentral
GUUAAUGGGUGAUAGCGUGCCUUUUGUAGAAUGAACCGGCGAGUUACGAUUUGUUGCAAGGUUAAGCGGAAAAAGCGGAGCCGUAGCGAAAGCGAGUCUGAAUAGGGGCGUUUAAGUAACAGGUCGUAGACCCGAAACCAGGUGAUCUACCCAUGUCCAGGAUGAAGGUAAGGUAAUACUUACUGGAGGUCCGAACCCACGCACGUUGAAAAGUGCGGGGAUGAGGUGUGGGUAGCGGAGAAAUUCCAAUCGAACUUGGAGAUAGCUGGUUCUCUCCGAAAUAGCUUUAGGGCUAGCCUCGAGGUAAAGAGUCAUGGAGGUAGAGCACUGUUUGGACUAGGGGCCCUCUCGGGUUACCGAAUUCAGAUAAACUCCGAAUGCCAUGUACUUAUACUCGGGAGUCAGACUGCGAGUGAUAAGAUCCGUAGUCGAAAGGGAAACAGCCCAGACCACCAGUUAAGGUCCCCAAAUAUACGUUAAGUGGAAAAGGAUGUGGGGUUGCUUAGACAACCAGGAGGUUGGCUUAGAAGCAGCCAUCCUUGAAAGAGUGCGUAAUAGCUCACUGGUCGAGUGACCCCGCGCCGAAAAUGUACCGGGGCUAAACGUAUUACCGAAACUGUGGAUGAACCACUUUGUGGUUCGUGGUAGGAGAGCGUUCUAAGGGCGUUGAAGUCAGACCGAAAGGACUGGUGGAGCGCUUAGAAGUGAGAAUGCCGGUAUGAGUAGCGAAAGAAGGGUGAGAAUCCCUUCCACCGAAUAUCUAAGGUUUCCUGAGGAAGGCUCGUCCGCUCAGGGUUAGUCGGGACCUAAGCCGAGGCCGAUAGGCGUAGGCGAUGGACAACAGGUUGAUAUUCCUGUACCAGUGUCAAUUGUUUGACCAAUGGGGUGACGCAGAAGGAUAGGGAAUCGCACGAAUGGAAAUGUGCGUCCAAGCAGUGAGUGUGAGAAGUAGGCAAAUCCGCUUCUUGCGAAGCAUGAGCUGUGAUGGGGAAGGAAAUAAAGUACGGAAGUUCCUGAUUUCACGCUGCCAAGAAAAGCCUCUAGGAAGAGAGAUACUGCCCGUACCGCAAACCGACACAGGUAGAUGAGGAGAGAAUCCUAAGGUGAGCGAGAGAACUCUCGUUAAGGAACUCGGCAAAAUGACCCCGUAACUUCGGGAGAAGGGGUGCUCUAUUAGGGUGAAAGCCCGAGAGAGCCGCAGUGAAUAGGCCCAGGCGACUGUUUAGCAAAACACAGGUCUCUGCAAAAACCGUAAGGUGACGUAUAGGGGCUGACGCCUGCCCGGUGCUGGAAGGUUAAGAGGAUGGGUUAGCAUCUCGCGAAGCUCAGAAUUGAAGCCCCAGUAAACGGCGGCCGUAACUAUAACGGUCCUAAGGUAGCGAAAUUCCUUGUCGGGUAAGUUCCGACCCGCACGAAAGGCGCAACGAUCUGGGCACUGUCUCAACGAGAGACUCGGUGAAAUUAUAGUACCUGUGAAGAUGCAGGUUACCCGCGACAGGACGGAAAGACCCCGUGGAGCUUUACUGCAAUCUGAUAUGGAAUGUUUGUACCGCUUGUACAGGAUAGGUAGGAGCCGAAGAAUCGCGUGCGCCAGCAUGCGAGGAGGCGCUGGUGGGAUACUACCCCCGCUGUAUGACCAUUCUAACCCGCCACGCUUAGCGCGUGGGGAGACAGUGUCAGAUGGGCAGUUUGACUGGGGCGGUCGCCUCCUAAAGAGUAACGGAGGCGCCCAAAGGUUCCCUCAGAAUGGAUGGAAAUCAUUCGCAGAGUGUAAAGGCACAAGGGAGCUUGACUGCGAGACUGACAAGUCGAGCAGGGACGAAAGUCGGGCUUAGUGAUCCGGUGGUUCCGCAUGGAAGGGCCAUCGCUCAACGGAUAAAAGCUACCCCGGGGAUAACAGGCUUAUCUCCCCCAAGAGUCCACAUCGACGGGGAGGUUUGGCACCUCGAUGUCGGCUCGUCGCAUCCUGGGGCUGUAGUCGGUCCCAAGGGUUGGGCUGUUCGCCCAUUAAAGCGGCACGCGAGCUGGGUUCAGAACGUCGUGAGACAGUUCGGUCCCUAUCCGUCGCGGGCGCAGGAAAUUUGAGAGGAGCUGUCCUUAGUACGAGAGGACCGGGAUGGACGCACCGCUGGUGUACCAGUUGUUCCGCCAGGAGCAUCGCUGGGUAGCUAUGUGCGGCAGGGAUAAACGCUGAAAGCAUCUAAGCGUGAAGCCCCCCUCAAGAUGAGAUUUCCCAUUUCGUAAGAAAGUAAGAUCCCUGAAAGAUGAUCAGGUAGAUAGGUUUGGAGUGGAAGUAUGGCGACAUAUGGAGCGGACAAAUACUAAUCGAUCGAGGACUUAACCUU